RNAcentral lists this ribosomal RNA (468 nucleotides) under uncultured bacterium. RNAcentral's name for it is "partial 16S ribosomal RNA". It matches the Rfam family "Bacterial small subunit ribosomal RNA", at positions 28 to 507 of the family's 1533-position model. The record is from RNAcentral.
GACGAACGCUGGCGGCGUGCUUAACACAUGCAAGUCGAACGGAAAGGCCCUGCUUUUGUGGGGUGCUCGAGUGGCGAACGGGUGAGUAACACGUGAGUAACCUGCCCUUGACUUUGGGAUAACUUCAGGAAACUGGGGCUAAUACCGGAUAGGAGCUCCUGCUGCAUGGUGGGGGUUGGAAAGUUUCGGCGGUUGGGGAUGGACUCGCGGCUUAUCAGCUUGUUGGUGGGGUAGUGGCUUACCAAGGCUUUGACGGGUAGCCGGCCUGAGAGGGUGACCGGCCACAGUGGGACUGAGAUACGGCCCAGACUCCUACGGGAGGCAGCAGUGGGGAAUAUUGCACAAUGGGCGGAAGCCUGAUGCAGCAACGCCGCGUACGGGAUGACGGCCUUCGGGUUGUAAACCGCUUUCGCCUGUGACGAAGCGUGAGUGACGGUAAUGGGUAAAGAAGCACCGGCUAACUACGUG